UACGUAGGGUGCAAGCGUUAAUCGGAAUUACUGGGCGUAAAGCGUGCGCAGGCGGUGAUGUAAGACAGAUGUUAAAUCCCCGGGCUCAACCUGGGAACUGCAUUUGUGACUGCAUGGCUGGAGUGCGGCAGAGGGGGAUGGAAUUCCGCGUGUAGCAGUGAAAUGCGUAGAUAUGCGGAGGAACACCGAUGGCGAAGGCAAUCCCCUGGGCCUGCACUGACGCUCAUGCACGAAAGCGUGGGGAGCAAACAGG
This 253-nucleotide ribosomal RNA is filed under the name uncultured bacterium. RNAcentral describes it as "partial 16S ribosomal RNA". It matches the Rfam family "Bacterial small subunit ribosomal RNA", at positions 524 to 776 of the family's 1533-position model. The record is from RNAcentral.